This 739-nucleotide ribosomal RNA is filed under the name Styrax confusus. RNAcentral describes it as "eukaryotic LSU rRNA". The stretch from base 324 to 479 matches the Rfam family "5.8S ribosomal RNA". The record is from RNAcentral. Lineage: Eukaryota; Viridiplantae; Streptophyta; Magnoliopsida; Ericales; Styracaceae.
UUAGAGGAAGGAGAAGUCGUAACAAGGUUUCCGUAGGUGAACCUGCGGAAGGAUCAUUGUCAAAACCUGCAAGGCAGUAUGACCCGUGAACCCGUACACCAACCUGGGGAGGCAGGGGAGGUGGGCGUUGGUCCCCUUCCUCUGUUUCCCUCUCUGUUCGGGCAUUGCUCUGAGCCCUCUCAUAGGGGUGAUGAUGCGGUCCCCGGCCUAACAACGAACCCCGGCGCGAACUGCGCCAAGGAAGUUGAACAAGAGAGUGCGACCCCGGGGCCCCGAUCUGCGGGUGCCAAGGGGUAGCGUGCCUUCUAUGAUAGAAAUUAAACGACUCUCGGCAACGGAUAUCUCGGCUCUCGCAUCGAUGAAGAACGUAGCGAAAUGCGAUACUUGGUGUGAAUUGCAGAAUCCCGUGAACCAUCGAGUUUUUGAACGCAAGUUGCGCCCGAAACCAUUAGGUUGAGGGCACGCCUGCCUGGGCGUCUCACAUCACCCUGUGCCCUCCCAGAACUCCUUUUGGCGUCUGGUGUUUGGGGCGUGGUAUAUUGGCCCCCCGUGCUCUAUGGAGUGCGGUCGGCCUAAAAUGACGCACAUGACAUCUGUCGACACAGAACAGUGGUUGGCGAUUAGUCGUUACUAUCCUGUGGUGUCGCUUGCGGUGUCGGCUGUUUUGUAGACCCAGAGUGCCGUUGCAAUGGUGCCUCGGUUGCGACCCCAGGUCAGGCGGGACUACCCGCUGAGUUUA